Molecule: long non-coding RNA, 596 nt
Organism: Xenia sp. Carnegie-2017
Lineage: Eukaryota; Metazoa; Cnidaria; Anthozoa; Malacalcyonacea; Xeniidae
Exons: 3
Source: RefSeq, a predicted model, not a curated record
AAAAAGCGUUGAAUCUUGACAGUCACUUUCAUUUGAUUCAUCCGAGGUGUAUGCGGGUUCAUUUAUUUUCCUUCUAAAGAAAGAGUUUGAGGAGAUAAUCAAUUGAAAAAUGCGAGCACCGUUCAAAUGGGAUUGGAGCUUUUUGUAGCUGCUGAAGAAUCUUUUUCAAAAUACCUACUCUUUUUGUAUAAGUGGAGAAUUCUGUGACAAAUAUGUCUUCAAUUUUGGUGAUAUAUUCAUAAAAUGAUACUUUUGGUGCAAGGAGAACGCCAAAGCUCUUGUCUGACUCAUAUGCCUUGAAGUAGCAAAGCAGAUUUCUGCUAUCAUCAAGUUGGUCUGUGACCAUAACUGACUCACAUAUGGAACACUUGUGCUUUUCAAAAUAUUUCUGGAAUGGAGAAAUCAAAACAGGAAUGCUUUGAGUCAGCUUUGCAGAAUUGUGCCAGUAAGUCAUCAAAGUCAUCAUCACAGUUGCCUUGUGAUGAAUUUAAGAAUGAACUAAAAAACAGCUUCCUGAAAGCACGGGUGAACUGGAUGGAGGUUGGAUUGUCGCUGUUGCCACCCUGCUGACGAAUUGCUCCAAAAAAGUUCUCUAU